RNAcentral lists this ribosomal RNA (253 nucleotides) under uncultured bacterium. RNAcentral's name for it is "partial 16S ribosomal RNA". It matches the Rfam family "Bacterial small subunit ribosomal RNA", at positions 524 to 776 of the family's 1533-position model. The record is from RNAcentral.
UACGGAGGGUGCAAGCGUUGUUCGGAAUCACUGGGCGUAAAGCGCGUGUAGGCGGCUAUCUAAGUCUGAUGUGAAAGCCCUGGGCUCAACUCAGGAAGUGCAUUGGAUACUGGAUAGCUGGAGUACCGGAGAGGAGGGUGGAAUUCCUGGUGUAGCGGUGAAAUGCGUAGAUAUCAGGAGGAACACCGGUGGCGAAGGCGUCCCUCUGACCGGAUACUGACGCUGAGACGCGAAAGCGUGGGGAGCAAACAGG